GGGGGGGAGCAUGCGUUGUUUCGGGAUUUACWGGGCGUAAAGGGCGCKUAGGCGGCCACCGCAAGUCGACUGUGAAAUCUCCGGGCUUAACCCGGAAAGGUCAGCCGAUACUGCGGGGCUAGAGUGCAGAAGGGGCAACUGGAAUUCUCGGUGUAGCGGUGAAAUGCGUAGAUAUCGAGAGGAACACCUGCGGCGAAGGCGGGUUGCUGGGCUGACACUGACGCUGAUGUGCGAAAGCUAGGGGAGCGAACGGGAUUAGAUACCCCGGUAGUCCUAGCCUUAAACGAUGAAUGCUUGGUGUCUGGGGUUUUAUAGUCCCCGGGUGCCGUSGCUAACGCUUUAAGCAUUCCGCCUGGGGAGUACGGUYGCAAGRCUG
Molecule: ribosomal RNA, 376 nt
Filed under: uncultured bacterium
Lineage: Bacteria
Description: bacterial SSU rRNA
Rfam family: Bacterial small subunit ribosomal RNA
Source: RNAcentral